GACGAACGCUGGCGGCGUGCUUAACACAUGCAAGUCGAACGGUAAGGCCCUGCUUUUGUGGGGUGCUCGAGUGGCGAACGGGUGAGUAACACGUGAGUAACCUGCCCUUGACUUUGGGAUAACUUCAGGAAACUGGGGCUAAUACCGGAUAGGAGCUCCUGCUGCAUGGUGGGGGUUGGAAAGUUUCGGCGGUUGGGGCUGGACUCGCGGCUUAUCAGCUUGUUGGUGGGGUAGUGGUUUACCAAGGCUUUGAGGGGUAGCCGGCCUGGGAGGGUGACCGGCCACAUUGGGACUGAGAUACGGCCCAGACUCCUACGGGAGGCAGCAGUGGGGAAUAUUGCACAAUGGGCGGAAGCCUGAUGCAGCAACGCCGCGUGCGGGAUGACGGCCUUCGGGUUGUAAACCGCUUUCGCCUGUGACGAAGCGUGAGUGACGGUAAUGGGUAAAGAAGCACCGGCUAACUACGUG
This 468-nucleotide ribosomal RNA is filed under the name uncultured bacterium. Its description in RNAcentral is "partial 16S ribosomal RNA". It matches the Rfam family "Bacterial small subunit ribosomal RNA", at positions 28 to 507 of the family's 1533-position model. The record is from RNAcentral.